AGUCUGCUAUUAAGUUAUUAACCUGAAAACUUUUAAGUGCAAGUCUCCAACAUCAACAUCAUCAACAACAACAACAACAACAACAACAAUAAGAACAAUAAUAAUAAUAAUGAUGUAAUAUUUUAUUAUUUUUAUUAUUUUUUUUUUUUUCAUAAUUUUACGUAAAUAAAAAAAUUAUAAUGGAGGAUGCAAAUAUUGAAAGAGCAACCAUUGAUGAAAAUACAUCACUUCCAAUUAUUUAUCCACAAGGCAUAAAUGAAAUCCAAAUAAAUGCUAUAAAUGCAGACACUAUUGGUGACACAUUGUACAGUAAAAAAUGGAUAAUAGAAACAUUAUUAUCUCUAUCAAAGAUAUCAGAUAAAGAUGAAUGGUCGGAAACAUUAGAAAAUAAAUUUUGCAUGCUUUGGGACAUGACAUUAGAAAAAGACGUGGUUUUCUUUUUGGUCGAAAAUCAUUUUUUACCAAUUGCUGAGGUGGUUAUUAAUCAGUCUCACGAGCCACGUUUGACAGAAAUAAUCGUCGGUAUCGUGGCCAAUAUGUGCUGCCAGUCAGAAGUUUUGAAACAUUUUGAAAAAAUGGAUGAAUUCGUUAACAGUUUAAUGAAUUUAUUGGCUAGUGAUGACACGGAAAUACUUAUACAGGUUUUAAGAAUACUGCAAGCUGCUAUUUGGAAUAUUACAAGCGAGAAACCCGCCAAAAAGUGGCUAUGUUUCAUAAAUCAAUGUGAAAUUUUCGGUCAAGCUUUAACAUUCAUAUUACAAAGUUCAACAAAUGGAGGUCUUUUGAUUUCUACUCUCAAUCUACUCCAAUCAGCUGCAAGCGUACAGUUGUCCACGAAAUGCCUGUUGGAAAGUUCUUUUGAUAUUAAACUAUUACUAUCGGCCAUGAUUGAAGCAUUCAAUCAACUAAUACCUAGAAAAAAAAGUGAAAAAUUUUACACAAAUACUGACAUGAUUGUUGUUGAAGUUUGGCUGGAAAUUUUUACUAAAAUCAUUCAAAUGGAUACUAAUCUAAAGUGCAACAUUGAUGAUGAUAAUUGUGAAGCACUGAUCGAAUUAUUAAUCAGAAUAUUAGAUCCGUGUAAGAAAUACGAUGAAUUGAGGCACUUUAUUUCUCUUAACGAAUCUUUGAUUUUUCACUGUAUUUAUCAAGCUGUUGAGAGUAUCUAUUGGUUUCAACAACGUGGGUUCAGUGUUGAUAUAGAAGCUAUUUCUACAAUUUUGCAAAUAUUGCAUCAAUUAAGUUUACGCUUAGCAACAGUAAAAAGACCAAACACGGAUAAUAGAAGUGAGACCUAUUUGCUAACUGCAAAUGAAAGAUCUGAAAAAGCUAUUAAUGUCAAUCAGUUGGACAGUGAAUCGAGUCGUGGAGAGCUUCCAAUAGCUGACCAAGGGCCUGGGCAUCGAUCAAAAGAAAAAAACUUGAUAAAUCAAUAUAAAACUCGCUUUAAAAUUAACCUAUGCUUUUUGGCCUCGACCAGCUAACGAACGCUCCCCAGAUGAAUUUAUCACAAUAGAUGUUCGAGCCAAAGUUUUACUACCAGAUUUUUUAAGUCACCUGAAUGGACGAUCUCAAAACUUGUUCGAAAAUAUAACAGAAUGAUUUUUUAAAAAACUUUACGACGAAAGUUAAAAAAAAAAGAAAAACCUUCG
Molecule: unclassified non-coding RNA, 1652 nt
Filed under: Aphidius gifuensis
Lineage: Eukaryota; Metazoa; Arthropoda; Insecta; Hymenoptera; Braconidae
Description: protein saal1, transcript variant X1
Source: RNAcentral